UGUCUGUUUUUCCAGGGAUUUUUUUCCACCCACCUUUGAACUACCUUGAAACAAUGAAGUGUUCUCUUUUGACAGGCUGGCCUAAUGGGAAGGUUGACCUGAUUUCCACUCUCCUACCGAAAAGUGACAAUGCAGCUGCCGGGCCAAGGAGGGACGUUGUGUGACCAGUUCAGAGGCAGGAGUUCACGCGGCUGCACUGACCCUCUGCAAAAGGAAGCAACUGGACAUUUCCUCUACACAUUGUCUCUUUUGAAAAGUUCCAAGCAGAUGCUCGCCCACCCACCAAGGCUGAGGCCAAAGAAAAUUCUCCGAUGACAAGGCUCUGCAGGUGCCGUACAGAGCGAGUACUUUUCAGGCAGCUGGCGGAGCCCAGAGCAAGCUUCCCCCGGAGCAUCCAAAGGGGCCACUUGGCUGCGGUCGCCAUUGCGAGAACAACAGGAAACUGAGCAGGGGCUGCGCUCGUCCUGGGCAGGACAACUCUCCAUUUCCCUUCAGGCCUGGCAUUGUUUUGCUGAUGGAAGAAAAGUGGAAUGGGGCGUGAUCACACUGCCGGCUCAGCAGCUGGAAAGCUCGUGUUGGCUUAAAUGUGCACAAGGUGAGGUCCCUCUCUGCCACUGAUCCCCACCUCCUCUCACCACAGGGUGUUUUCUGAUCACCACAU
Long non-coding RNA from Cercocebus atys (sooty mangabey), 661 nucleotides. NCBI's taxonomy places the organism in Eukaryota, Metazoa, Chordata, Mammalia, Primates, Cercopithecidae. The record is from Ensembl.